AAAUACCCUCCCUCUUCUGUUCAUCUCCUUCGUCUCUCUGUUGCCCAACCCUAGCGUCGCCUUUAUAUCCUUUUGCCAUUUUUGGCGGCUGCACAGUCAUAAGCCGUCCGAAACCACCUCAAAAUCACACCCUAGAACCCUCCCCAUCUUCUUAUCCCAAAUCUCCAACACUUUGUCCAAAAAUCCUACCGAAGUACGUCGAAUCUCAGAUCCAAGACUCAGUCCUCGAGCUUUCAUCUCGCCUGCUUUACCAGGUUCAAGCUUUUGGGCCGAUAAUGGCCCGAAGUUUAUGCCAUAUCAACUUAUCUCCUUGAGAAUGAUUGGCUGCCAUGGACUUCGAUUCAUUUCGUAGCCCGUCGGCAUCAUGCAAGACCCAAAUCCGGCAAGUCUACUCGAGAGAUGUAUACCUCCGAUUAGUUAGUAUGUAUUUUUCUUCUUCUACGUCGAUUGCCUUUCUCUUCAUAACUCGGAAUAAUUGAGGCCAAUACGGUUAAGUCGUCUGUUUACUUGUUUUGUUUGGAUCAUUUUAAUUGGUUCAUAAAUGGUUGCUAGGUUAAUUAAGUUUGUUUUUUGUUUGCCUAAAUUAUUUUAGUUUUUGGACUCAAUUCUUUACUUUUCCUUCUUUCGGCCAAAACAACUUUGUUCUAUUAAGCCUUAGUGCUCGGCAUAAUUGCCUGAGUUCGUUGAAUUUGGGCCAUUAUAUUCAUGCCCAUUAGUUUAGAUGGGAUCUCGUUUUCAACUUGACCCGGGUUGGUCGCUGGGGGUAAUUCUCAGAUUUUUGAAGGGACAACUUGGGUAAUUAAUUGAGGCAAUAUCUUUCAUAACAUAAUAGGAAGCUUCUAGUAGGUGUUUUAAUUUAAAUUUUCAGAUUGUUAGUAGGUUAACUUGGGUAACAAGUCAAUAAUUAGAGGAUAGCUGAGCAAAAAUGAAAAUUCAAAAAAGGGGCAAAGGGUAAAAAAACUAAAUCUAAGAAAUACCCUAUUUGCUUGCCUAUAAAGGCAUCAUUUCUUGCCUUAAAAGGAGAGUUUUAAUAUCUGAAAAUCCAUAAAAUAAAAGGCCAACACGUUCUGAAAAAAUCUAAAAAUUUUAGAGAGCUGAAAAUCCUAAAAGUUCCAGGCGGCUAAAAUUUCUAAAAUAUAUACUCUUCCAUUAAGUUUUCUGGAGAUACUUGAGGUUUUCAUUGUUAAAAACGAUCCUUGAACAUUCAGAAGUUGAAAAGUGAGUUGAAUUAUGUUUGAUAUUCAAGUAUUUGGGUCAGCUUUGGUUAGAUUUUGGUGACUGUUUUUUGCUGAUGCUAUUGCUAGUUCAAGUUUGGUUUUAAGUUGGUUUUCCUCAAUUAUUUAUGGGUGAAUUUUGCUUGCUGAACAUUGUCCUUGUUACUGCCUUGUUGCUGACCUCUCACUUCUAUGAAUUACUUUCAAAUUCUAGGUAUUUAAGCAUGUUAGAGCUAUUAGUAGAGGUGAUAUGGGGUUAGCAUUUAUAUUUUGAUCUUCAGUUCAGCUCUGUGGUUAUAUGUGUGUUGAAUGAUUUUUGUUCAUUAUUAGAGAUCUAACGUGCUAGAUUCAUCAUUAUUUGAUUCACAAGCAUCAUGUGCUAAAAAUCUGAUUUAAACUUGGCUUUGCUAGGUUUUGCAUGGUGUCUGUUCGUAUAGAAUUAAUGAUUAUGCUCAAGGAUUUGAAUUUGCUUUAGCCAUUUAGGAUAAUGCUGAACUCUGGCGACUCUGCCGGGGAUAAGAACCCAGAAUCUCUGGUUCAUGGUUCAAAUUCGAGCUUGUUAAUAUGAUUUUGCUUGGCUUUAUUUAUUUGUUAAUAUUAGUAUAUUUUGUGAACCUUUGUUCUAAUUGCUAUUUUUUUACCGCUUUAAUAUUAUUUGAACUGUAUAUAAUUGUCUUCUUCGCCACCCUUUUGAUUCUUAUGAAUAUGGUGCAUACGUUCGCGUAGCCCGUUUUCUCUGUAGAAAUUAUACCGAAUAAAACGAGGCUGGGCAAACGACAAGGCUGGGCAGACUUUAGUGCUCCCAGUAUGUCGCCCCCUCUCCGGCCCUAGUUGUCCACUCGGGUACCCCAAGUCUAGACCAAAACCCCAGGAUUUAAACCUAGAAGAUACAUCCUCCUACAGGAUCCCAAAUGUCACGACCUGGCUUUUUUACCAUCGAGAGUCGUGAUGGCGCCUACUAUCGGAGCUAGGCAAGCCAAACAUUUCAACAUUUUUACUGAUUUCAUUUAAAUAAUUAUACUAAACUAGAAUAAUAAUUAAAGCGGAAGACUUUUAAAUGCUUAAAUAACAUAAAGCGGGAGUACAAAAGUUUCAAAAUAUACUUCUACCCAGUAUAUGGUGUCACUACUCAUGAUUGCUAUGGAAUACUAAAACAAGAGUCUGAAAGAAAUACAUAGAAGAGUAUGUCUCGGUACAAAGGAGACAAACUAAUAAUAUAUAAGGGACUCCGGCCUGCGGACGCCAGCUAUCCUUGGACCGAAGUCGGCGCACGAGCAAAUACUGCUACUGAGGUUCAACAACUGCUCCUGGAUCAGUGCAAAAAGAUACGCAAAGUGUAGUAUCAGCACAACCGACUCCAUGUGCUGGUAAAUGCCUGGCCUAACCCCUGCGAAGUAGUGACGAUGCUAGACAGGACCUACCAUAAAUGACAUGUAUAGAUAUAUGUGCAAUAAUAGAAAGUACACGAAUUUAAACAGCUAAGAGCGAGGGGAGCAUUCUAUAGGGUAUGACAAUUUAAAUAUAGAAAUCAUCGAAUAAGAAGUAAAGCCGUACAACAAUUGCUAAGGAAAAACACAGGAAAGCCCUACAUUCAAAAACAAUAUACUUGAUCCAUACUCUGUUGCGGCGCGCAACCCGAUCCUCAAAAAUAUCUGUUGCAGUGCGCAACCCUAUCCUCAAAUAUAUCCGUUGUGGAGAUCAACCCAACAACAACAACUACCCAGUAUAAUCCCACAAAGUGGGGUCUGGGGAGGGUAAUAUGUAGACGAGCCUUACCCCUACCCAAAAAGGCAGAGAGGCUGUAUGUGGAGAGCAACCCAAUCCUCAAAUAUAUCCGUUGCGGAGAGCAACCCGAUCCUCAAAUAUAUCCAUUGCAGUGAGCAACCCGGCCCUUAAUAUUUAAUACCGUCGCGGUGUGCAACUCGAUCCUCAACCAUUAAUACCGUUGCGGCAUGCAACCCGGUCCUCUAUAACUAGCAACAAGAACUCACCCAAACAACAACCACAACUCGUGUGCAAGGGAGUAACCACAAAUACAAGGAGUCCCGACCAGGGAAUACAACUAACAGCUCAAAAAUCCCGGCAAAGGAGAAUUCAAUAUAUACCUAAAUCGACAAGGGAAUAAUCACAGUACUUCACACUUAAAUACUUAGUCAUCAACAAGUUCUAGGUCAAGCCAAUGCCCCAAUGUUAUAUAAAUCACUAUUUUUCCUCAACCAUUAAUAUCAUGUGAAAUAUAACAAUUCAAACAAAAAGCCGUAUCACAUCAUUCGAAUUAAAAACAAUUAAGACUCAUGUUCAUGCUAGUCUUCGGUGCAUAGAUAGUCGUCACCAUGCCUACACACCGUACACUACACUCAGAAACAUAGCAAAUAAUAUCCUAGUCCUAUUCCCUCAAGCCAAAGUUAGAUUAAACACUUACCUCGGUCCUAGAAUUCAAUAUAUAUCUAAAUCCCGGCAAGGGAAUAAUCACAGUACUCUCGCGCUUAAACAUUUAGUCAUCAACAAGUUCUAGGUCGAGCCAAUGACCUAAUGUCAUACAGUCACUAUUUUUCCUCACUCGUUCAUAUACUAUGAAAUAUAUCAAUUCAAACAAGAAGUCGUAUCACAUCAUUCGAAGUAAAAGCAAUUAAGAUUCACAGUCAUGCUAGACUCUGGUGCAUACAUAACCAUCACCAUGCAUAUACACCGUACUCUACACUUAGCACGUAGCAAAUAAUAUCGUAGUCCUAUUCCCUCAAACCAAGGUUAGAUCAAACAUUUAUCUCGGUCCGAAAAUAGCAAUCAAGUCUCUAACACCGCCUUUCCUCUAGAAUCAAACUCCGAGACAAUGAUAUCUAGGCACAAUUUAGUUCAAUAUUAUCAAUAAUGGGUCAAAGACACAAUUACAUAGCCUAAAAAUGAAUUUCCUAUCAUUCUUCAAAAAAUACCAAAAUCCGACCCCAGUCCCACAUGGUCCAAACUUGAGGCUCAGACAAACAUUCGUACACCCAUAACCCCACGAGUUCAAAUCUAUAAUUUGUUUUGAGAUUCAACCCCAAUUUAAGGUUGAAUCAUCAACAAUUCCCAAAAAUCUAACUCUACCCAUAAGCCCUAAUUUCUACUUUGAUUUCAUAUUUUUAGGCCUAGGAAUUCAAUAACUAGUGAAGAAAAAUGAAGGAAUUGGGUGUAGAAUUACUUACCGAACGAGUCUUGGAAGAGGGGAGGUUCAAUGGAGUCCUAAAUCCUAAUGGAGAAGAGAGCUCAUGAGAAGAAGUGAGAAAUCCCGAAGUGAACAGUUCUGUUUUUUAAAAAAUCACUGAAGGGAAAUUGUGCUAUGUGUUCAGACACUACGUCGCGUUCGCGAAGUAGAAGGACAAUGGACCAUCACGUUCGCGAUUGGGAGUGUGCAAACGCGAAAAAAAAGAAAAUAGUCUACGCGAACGCGAGAGAAGCCUCACGAAUGCGUUAAAGAGGCAGCAUGGGUUACGGGAACGCAUGGUGUUGUCCGCGAACGUGAUGAAGAGUGAAGCUCUGCGAAUGGGUGACUGAAAUGCGAACGCGAAGAAGGAAUUUACUGUGCAAAAAUUGUAGAAAAUCUACUAUGUUUCCAAGUGUAAAAAUAAUCUCGAACCACCUCUGAAUCACUUCCGAGCCCUCGGAACUCCCAACCAAACACAUACACUAACUCAAAACCACCCUACGGACUUGCUCGCGCGGUCAAAUCGCAAAAAUAACAUUAUAAUCAUUGACUUAAGCCUCAAAUUCGUCAUUUUCCUUUCAAAGUUCAUAAACUUUCAAAUUUUCCAUUUUUAGUCCGAUACAUGUCAAAUGACAUCCGUUUUCAACCAAACUUUACAGAUAGUGCUUAACACAUGUUUAAGACUUGUACCGAGCAUAAGAACCAAAUACGAACAUGAUACCUAUAUUUUCUAACUCAUAUUUAUUUCAAAAUUUUCAUAUCAUUUUUAGAAAAAUAAUUUCUUUCAAAAAUUCUAUACUCGGGCUUGGAACAUUGGAUUUCGAUUCCGGAAAUACGCUCGAGUCACAUAUUUUUCUACGGACCCUCCGAGGCCGUCAUCACGGGUUCGGGUCCGGAUUCGUUUACCCAAUAUGUUGACCGAAGUCAACUUUUACAAUAUUAAUAUCAAAAUUCUUCAAAUUUCUCACAUAAUUCACAUAUUUAAUAUAAAAACUUUCCGGCUACGUACCCGAACUUCGCAUGCAAAUUGAGGCAAGUGAAAUAACUUUUUUAAGGCUUCGGAAGCACGGAACGAGUAAGGAAACAGGUGAUGACCCUUUGGGUCGUCACACCUAGUAGGAACGUUUGUUUGCGUCAUGUGCAUUUGACUUAAGGGACUCAAACCCAAAAUAACAGACCAUCUUGAUGCAUCCUAUGUGCUACUUGUUGCAUUUAUUUAAGGGUAAAAUGGUAAUUUGGCGAACUAAUGAUAGUUGAGGAAAAAUAAAAAAUAAAGAGAAAAAAAAAGAAAAAGAGAGAGUGAAAUGUGGAGAUAAAGUGAGUUGGGCCGAAUUAUGUUGUUAAACAAAACUUGAACAUUCAGAAAGGUAAAAAAAAUUUGCACUUUUUCAUCAUUUUCUGAAAAUCAGAAAAUCAAAAAAUAAAAAGAAAUUCAAAAAGAUUUUGCAUGUUUCAUUAUUUUCAAGAAAAAGCAAAAGUUAUGUUUUCUCUAAAUUAGUUAUUUUUUUAAUUCUCGCCCGUAUCCAAUCUGCUUGUACUAAGCAUACCCGAUUCUCGUCUUUCGGGGCGUGAUGCGUAGGCAACCUACAUAGGGUCCGGUCUUCCUAGUAAAUAUUAGGUUCUUGGCUUUGCAGAGUCUUAGUAAAAAUUCACACUUCUAGCCACCUUUUGUUUAAAUAAGUCAUUAUGCAAAAAUAUCCUCAAUCAUGUGUUGCAUAUGUCUAGUAGGGAAUGUUAUUGUCUCACAUAGCGUUGUUUCAAAGCUUUCUCAUACGGGUGUGGAUUUACUUAUCAGAGUUUGAGCAUGACAGGCACCCCAUGACCAUCCAGUCAGGUUCGCUCAGUCACGAGUUGCUUAAGGAGA
RNAcentral lists this long non-coding RNA (6259 nucleotides) under Nicotiana benthamiana. RNAcentral describes it as "long non-coding RNA (NBEN_LNC040376)". Lineage: Eukaryota; Viridiplantae; Streptophyta; Magnoliopsida; Solanales; Solanaceae. The record is from RNAcentral.